This is a long non-coding RNA of Prosopis cineraria, 814 nucleotides long. RefSeq lists it as uncharacterized. The transcript has 2 exons. Lineage: Eukaryota; Viridiplantae; Streptophyta; Magnoliopsida; Fabales; Fabaceae. The record is from RefSeq and is a predicted model, not a curated record.
AAUAUCCUCUACAAUGACAGAUUCAGAGGGAGGAACGACCUUGAAGAGUUCCGGCCUUGUGCAUGUAGUUUCGAUCGGAUAUCUUGGAAUCAAAUGAGAGCAUGAGAAAUGAUAGAUCCAAGAAAGACUUCGUCUCAGGCAAUCCAAUCUAAAAGUAGACACCGAAUGAUCGUAGGAUUCAGAUCUAAUCCAUUUGAUACAUUGAAGGAAGCAACCCUUGAAGCUGAUGUCAAAGAGAAUAAAACUUCCAUGGAUCCCUUUACCUGAUCUGCAGAAGAGUGCCUAGCCAUCCUGAUUCGCGGAGCUAUGAGGAGCAGGCGAAGAGAUCGUCUGUUGUGGGACAAUAGGCACAGGUUCGUUAGUAGUCAAGGGUUCCUGUGGAUCAUCAAUCCUUUGUUUAACUUGCUUGAAGUACGCAUAUUCAAAUUGGUUGUAAGUUCAUGGGAUCCUUCCCCAGUGAGUUAACUUAAUGGAUGGGCUCAAGACAAAUAUGGAGUGGGUUUUUGAGUUCACACCUAUUGGGCCAGAGGCAUUUAUUGGACCAAGAAGUAUGAGUCCAAUGGAAGUUAGUUAGGAAUAAAGGCAAGAAGAGAAGUGGAGGACGUGAAGAAUAUUGUUGAGCAUUCACUUGCUUUACUCUUCCUCUGUUAUGUUUCUUCUUUCUCCUUCCCUCCUUUCUGCUGCAAUUUCAGUUACUUUGGUGUCAGUGUUAGUUCAUUAUCAUAGUUUGUUUUGAUGAUCUGAAACUUGUUGAUGUACUAAGCUUAUGGAUUAUUGAACAUUAAAACGUGAAUACCUCAGUUUUAUCUCUUAA